Molecule: RNA transcript, 4631 nt
Organism: Malania oleifera
Lineage: Eukaryota; Viridiplantae; Streptophyta; Magnoliopsida; Santalales; Ximeniaceae
Gene name: formin-like protein 18
Exons: 18
Source: RefSeq, a predicted model, not a curated record
CAAAGCCUAUUUGUCUCCUCAGUUUGGUUUGUGACCUCCACGUAUAGCUUAGGCGCCACUGCAAGUCGGUAGUUGAUGGUGAUGGAUGUGAGCCCUCUGCUUUAAGACGAAGAAGAACCCAAACCACCAGCAGUCCUCAGCUCAGCUGGCAAGCGAGCGAGAGUGGAAUUGUCAGUAGUUGGAAAGCGGAUUACGAAAUUGACAGACAACAAUAAAGGCUGAUUUCUGGAACAAAGAACUGAUAUCUCAAAACGGGUCCGGGUUUCGUGUUUCUGUAUUUGGCGUUUCGUUCUGGGUUUUAGAAUUUGAGGAGUCGUUUCCACCGCUGGCAUGUCAUUGCUUCGCAAAUUGUUCCACCGGAAGCCGCCGGAUGGGCUCCUUGAGAUCUCUGAAAGAGUUUAUGUUUUUGAUUGUUGCUUUACUACUGAUGCUUUGGGAGAAGAAGACUUUAAAGUUUAUGUAGGAGGCAUAAUCAGCCAACUUCGAGAUCACUGCUCUGAUGCUUCAUUCUUGGUGUUCAAUUUCCGCGAGGAGGGGACAGAGAGUCAAACUGCUAAUGUUUUUUCCGAGUAUGAUAUGACUGUAAUGGACUACCCUCGACAAUAUGAAGGUUGCCCAUUACUAACAAUAGAGGUGAUACAUCAUUUUCUGAGAUCAUGUGAAAGCUGGCUUUCUCUUGGUCAGCAUAACGUGUUAUUAAUGCACUGUGAACGUGGCGGUUGGCCAGUUUUGGCAUUUAUACUGGCUGCACUAUUAAUUUAUAGGAAGCUGUACACAGGAGAGCAGAAAACACUGGAUAUGAUAUACAAGCAGGCUCCUCGUGAGUUGUUGCAGUUGCUUUCGCCACUGAAUCCUCUCCCUUCUCAAUUAAGAUAUUUACAGUAUGUCUCAAGGAGAAAUGUGGCCACAGAAUGGCCACCGUUGGACAGGGCACUCACCUUUGACUGCAUCAUGAUCAGAUUUAUUCCUAAUUUUGAUGGAGAGGGAGGUUGUCGUCCAAUAUUUCGGAUAUAUGGACAGGAUCCUUUUCUUGAAGCUGAUCGUACUCCCAAAGUUUUGUUCUCAACUCAAAAAAAGAGCAAAGCUGUCCGGCUCUACAAGCAGGCAGAAAGUGAAGUUGUUAAAAUUGACAUCGGUUGUCAUGUUCAAGGUGAUGUUGUACUUGAGUGUAUUAACUUGCAUGAUGACAUGGCACGGGAAGAGAUGAUGUUUCGAGUCAUGUUUAACACAGCUUUUAUUCGAUCAAACAUCUUAAUUCUUAAUCGAGAUGAGAUUGACAUGUUGUGGCAUGCUAAAGAUCAAUUUCCGAAAGACUUCCGAGCAGAGGUUCUUUUUUCGGAAAUGGAUUCUGCUGCUGCUUCCUUAGUUACCCCAAACUUGUCUUGUUUUGAUGAGGAAGGUCUUCCGAUGGAAGCGUUUGCUAAAGUACAAGAGAUAUUUCAGAAUGUGGAUUGGCUAGACCCAAAGGCAGAUGCUGCACUCAAUGUGCUCCAACAAAUAACUGCUUCAAAUAUUGUCCAUGAGGACACUGAUUCCCACUUGGUUGAUGAACUGAGGAGUUCACUUCAGGAAUUAAAACCUCAAAAGCUCCAUGAAAAAAAGCACUCUGCAGCAUUGGAACAUCACAAUGAGAUUUCUGCAUUGAUGUCUUUAGAGAAUCUUCCUCUUCCUUCACCAAAACUAUCUCCAAAUGCAGAUGCGAAUGACAGGAAGUCUAUCACCCAAGAUGUCCAAGUUGCACAGGAACAACCUAUUCAGUCGGAUGUCAUAGGUCGUUGGACACUUGAGUCUUCUCUUGUAAAUCCAGCUAGUUGUAAUUCUGUGCAAGUUUCAUCUGUACCAGUGCCAAGAGAGGGUAUUGCAUCUGCAGAUCUUGGCAUUUCCCAUCCCAUGCAUGAUCAUGCCUCAUUAGAAAGUGCAAAGUUCACUUAUCCAGUGACAGCAUCUCCAGCACUCCUGGCUCCAACCCUAGAUGGUUCAUGCACACCAAAAUCUGCAGAAACUGGAGAUAUAUCUAUAUUGCCACCUCCACCACCACCUUCUCCGCAACAGCCUUCCUUGACUGCUAGUGCUGCAAGUCUUCAUGCUACUACAACUCCUGCUCCACCACCACCACCACCCCCACCACCUCAACAUAAUCUUUCAGCUACAAAACCUCAGCAAUUUUCAGUUAGCAAACAGCCUGAAGCAUAUUUACAAAGUGGAAAUCAGCCAUCACUAGUUUCUUGCAAACCUCUACAUGGGACACUCCUUUUAGGAACAAAUGCUAGUGAUUCAUCGUCUCAUCUCCCUUCCUCCCCUCCUGGACUUAAGCUUGCUACAUCAACUCCACCAGCGCCUCCAACUCCACCACCGCCUCCAACUCCACCUUUGAAGGAGACCCGCUCUGUUAGAGCUGGGCCUCCUCCACCUCCACCUCCUCCUCGUCCUUCUGGUGAAGCUGCUAGUCCUACAGUUUCAUCUUUGGUACGUCCACCACCACCACCACCUGCUCCCCCUACUCCCUCAUCCGUGCCUUCUGCCCCCCCUCCUCCCUCAUCCAUGCCUUCUGCUCCCCCUCCUCCCUCAUCUGUGCCUUCUGCUCCCCCUCCUCCAGUGCCUUUUGAUAAAGGAUUUCCUAAAACAGGUGUUGUCUCACCAGGUCUUCUUUCUGCUGGUAGUAAUAAAGAUAGUAGUAUUUCUGGAACUUCAACCCCCAGGCCACCACUUGUUUCUCCAUCUAGUGCAAAGGGGCGAAUUUUGUCACGCACUAUAAGUUCAAGGAAUCAUCAUACAAAGAAACUGAAGCCAUUGCAUUGGUUAAAAUUAACGAGAGCAGUACAAGGAAGCUUAUGGGCAGAGGCACAAAAAUCUGGUGAAGCUACCAAGGCUCCAGAGAUUGACAUGUCCGAACUUGAGAGUCUUUUUGCAGCAGCAAUACCAAAUUCAGAACAUGGGAAGUCUGGUGGGAAAUCAACUCUGCAUGGUUCCCUUGGGCAUAAGUCUGACAAAGUUCAACUGAUUGAUCAUAGGCGGGCAUAUAAUUGUGAAAUCAUGCUUUCAAAGGUGAAGAUGCCGCUGCAUGAGUUGAUGGGUUCAGUGCUUUCUUUGGAAGAAUCAGCAUUAGACAUUGAUCAGGUUGAUAAUCUCAUAAAGUUCUGUCCAACAAAGGAAGAGAUCGAACUACUCAAGGGCUACAAUGGGGACAAGGACAAGUUGGGAAAAUGUGAACAGUUCUUUUUAGAGUUGAUGCAAGUACCAAGAGCAGAAUCUAAGCUCAGAGUUUUCUCAUUUAAAAUACAAUUCUGCUCGCAGGUUUCUGACCUUAGAAAUAAUCUGAAUACUGUAAAUGCUGCAGCAGAAGAGAUAAGAAAUUCUCUCAAACUUAAGAGAGUUAUGCAGACAAUUCUUUCUCUGGGAAAUGCUUUGAACCAGGGAACUGCAAGGGGCUCUGCUAUUGGAUUCAGAUUGGAUAGCCUUCUUAAGCUCACUGAUAUGCGUGCCCGAAACAAGAAGAUGACUCUCAUGCAUUAUCUUUGUAAGGUACUUGCUGAUAAACUACCAGAACUUAUAGAUUUUUCAAAAGACCUUAUCAGCCUGGAGCCUGCAUCAAAGAUUCAAUUGAAAGUUUUGGCAGAGGAAAUGCAAGCUAUUAGCAAGGGACUAGAGAAAGUCAUUCAGGAAUUGUCCAUAUCUGAAAAUGAUGGUCAGGUGUCAGAAAAUUUUUGUAAGGCUUUAAAGGAAUUUCUUCGAUUUGCUGAAGCAGAAGUGAGGUCUUUGGCUUCACUUUAUUCUGGUGUGGGAAGAAACGUUGAUGCAUUGAUUCUUUAUUUUGGUGAAGAUCCAUCUCGCUGCACAUUUGAACAAGUUGUUUCUACUCUGCUCAACUUUGUGAGGAUGUUCAGCCGUGCUCACGAGGAAAACUGCAAGCAGCUUGAGCUUGAAAAGAAGAAAGCGGAGAAGGAAGCAGAAGUUGAAAAAUUGAAGAUGGGUGUUUCACAGGAGCGUGAAAACAUUUCACACUCCUGUCGAUAGUAGUAAAUCAAACUUCACAGUUUUGAGCAUAAACCAUCUCCAUGCAAAACGAGUAAAUGGUAAUAAUACAUACUCCGCCAGUCAAAAACAUCUGGUGCGAGAAAUGCAAUUGAUCUUGGUGGUGGUUGAGAUUAGAAUGUACAUAAAUCCACAGGAAUAAAUUUGAAUUGUAGAUAUAGAGUUGUAAAUUGACUCAAUUUGCAGCAAACGACAAGGUUAAGUCUUUAUCUUGAGAUAGACGUGGGAAUUGGCACCAUUUUCUUCUUGGACAGGCAGCUACUCUUAUCAACUUGACGAGUAUCCUUCAUCAUCUUCAAGAACAUUAGAGAGAGAGACUAUUCAAAUAAAGGUUUAGAAUUACCGUGAGAUUAUUUUUUAUUCUUUUUUUUAUUUGUGUUUAAUUUGUUCCUUUCUUUUGCAGUCCACUUUUCCUUCCUUUCUUUUUUUUUGCAUGGAUUCCUUCUGUUUCCUCUAAAAUACCAUUGGGGAUGUAAAUUCUAUCUUCACCUUCUCUAGGGCAAUAUUUCCCCUCUUCAUUUUUUGAAGUGACCGUAAUUUAAGCAGCUCAAUAUCUAUUUUAUUUGAAAUUAUUGAAAUAAAACAAGGGUAUAGAGCAA